Cordylochernes scorpioides is the source of this 72-nucleotide non-coding RNA. Lineage: Eukaryota; Metazoa; Arthropoda; Arachnida; Pseudoscorpiones; Chernetidae. The record is from the annotation of a GenBank genome assembly.
UUCCCACGUGUUCCAGUGGCUAGAAUAUUCGGCUUUCACCCAGAAGGCCUGGGUUCGAUUCCCGCCAGGAAA